Molecule: unclassified non-coding RNA, 400 nt
Filed under: soil metagenome
Description: partial contains 5.8S ribosomal RNA, internal transcribed spacer 2, and large subunit ribosomal RNA
Rfam family: 5.8S ribosomal RNA (bases 1-122)
Source: RNAcentral
GAUGAAGAACGCAGCGAAAUGCGAUACUUGGUGUGAAUUGCAGAAUCCCGUGAACCAUCGAGUCUUUGAACGCAAGUUGCGCCUCAAGCCAUUAGGUUGAGGGCACGUCUGCCUGGGCGUCACAUAUCGUUGCCUGAUGCCAGUUUCCUCGUGAUGGGUGACUGUGCAGGGCGAAUGAUGGCUUCCCGUGAGCAUUGUUGCCUCAUGGUUGGUUGAAAAUUGAGUCCUUGGUAGUGAGCGCCGUGAUAGAUGGUGGUUGAGUGACGAACGAGACCCAAUCAUGUGAGACCCCUACCGAAUUUGGCCUUCAUGACCCACAUGCGUCUUUGGAACGCUCAUGACGAGACCUCAGGUCAGGCGGGGCUACCCGCUGAGUUUAAGCAUAUCAAUAAGCGGAGGA